AACGAACGCUGGCGGCAUGCCUAACACAUGCAAGUCGAACGAGACCUCCGGGUUUAGUGGCGCACGGCUGCGUAACGCGUGGGAACCUGCCCUUAGGUUCGGAAUAACUCAGAGAAAUUUGAGCUAAUACCGGAUGAUGUCUUCGGACCAAAGAUUUAUCGCCUUUAGAUGGGCCCGCGUUGGCUUAGCUAGUUGGGAGGGUAAAGGCCUACCAAGGCGACGAUCCAUAGCUGGUCUGAGAGGAUGAUCAGCCACACUGGGACUGAGACACGGCCCAGACUCCUACGGGAGGGAGGAGUGGGGAAUAUUGGACAAUGGGCGGAAGCCUGAUCGAGCAAUGCCGCGUGAGUGGUGAAGGCCUUAGGGUAGUAAAGCUCUUUUACCCGAGAUGAUAAUGACAGUAACGGGAGAAUAAGCACCGGCUAACUCCGUG
RNAcentral lists this ribosomal RNA (433 nucleotides) under uncultured bacterium. Its description in RNAcentral is "partial 16S ribosomal RNA". It matches the Rfam family "Bacterial small subunit ribosomal RNA", at positions 29 to 507 of the family's 1533-position model. The record is from RNAcentral.